UUAACUAGUGUUCAGUGCGAACUUGGGUUCCUUGACUCGUGGAUGUGUGGGGGUGACUAUCCUGGCGCUCGGUGAAUUAUUUAAUGAUUCUAUGGUUAAAAACAGUGUAUUUCAGUGCCUUUCUAAAAAUGGAAACAUGAGGGGUUAAUAAAGAUAGACGUUUUGAGGAGGAUACCAAGAAUAAUUAAUACUAUUUCACACAGAAAAAGCCACGAUGUUAGACGACUUGAAGCGAGCACUCCGCAUGGAGUCCCCAACACCGAGGCUGAGUGAAUCCAAUCUCAAGAAGUUAUCGCGAGGACUGAGAUCCUCCAAGAAAAGCCUCCACUCCGUGCACUCAGCCCUUGAGACCCACAGCGUCCAGGAUGGGCAGCUCAGCGGACGAUCUGUAUCCCUU
Long non-coding RNA from Penaeus chinensis, 397 nucleotides. RefSeq lists it as uncharacterized. The transcript has 3 exons. NCBI's taxonomy places the organism in Eukaryota, Metazoa, Arthropoda, Malacostraca, Decapoda, Penaeidae. The record is from RefSeq and is a predicted model, not a curated record.